RNAcentral lists this ribosomal RNA (465 nucleotides) under uncultured bacterium. RNAcentral describes it as "partial 16S ribosomal RNA". It matches the Rfam family "Bacterial small subunit ribosomal RNA", at positions 339 to 795 of the family's 1533-position model. The record is from RNAcentral.
CUACGGGGCGCAGCAGUCGAGAAUAGUCUACAAUGGACGAAAGUCUGAUAGUGCAACGCCGCGUGGGUGAUGAAGCAUUUCGGUGUGUAAAACCCUUUUCUUUGUGAGCAAUGCCAUUAUGGUUAAUAGCUAUAGUGGAGCGAUAUUAGCAGAGGAAUAAGCCACGGCUAACUCCGUGCCAGCAGCCGCGGUAACACGGGGGUGGCGAGCGUUGUCCGGAAUCACUAGGCGUAAAGGGCAGGUAGGCGGAAUAUCUAGUCAUUUGUUAAAGGCAUUGGCUCAACCAAUGUACGGCAUAUGAUACUGGUAUUCUAGAAUUUGGUAUGGGAAGACGGAAUUCCUGGUGUAGCGGUGGAAUGCGCAGAUAUCAGGAAGAACACCGGAGGCGAAGGCGGUCUUCUGGGCCAAAAUUGACGCUCAACUGCGAAGGUGUGGGUAUCAAACAGGAUUAGAUACCCCGUAGUC